CAUCUUAGAUUAUCUUAUAUGACAGUGAGUGAAUUUAGAUAACGUGAACAAAAUGGAAUAGAGAUUUUAACAGGGAUUAACUAACUAAAAAAAUCAUACAUAAUACAACAUACAUACAUACAUACAUACAACAGAGGCUUAAACUUGCUUUACUUCUAAAUGCAUGAACCAUAUUUUCUGCUGACCACCAGGUGGCAGCCUUCCUCUAUGAAUAUUCAGCACAUUUCCAUGAUUAAACCUAUUGUUCUGAGGCUGCAACUGUUGUUAUGCAGCUAACAUCCACCAUAUUAUUCAUUCAGACUCCAUUCUCUUCAGCCUUCAGAGGAGCCGCUAUCCUUUCUAAAACUACUGUUUGUUCUGAAAACUAAACCACAUGAGAUGGUCAAAACAGGUGCUUCUCAGCAGGAUGGAAAGGAUGAAAGGUUGAAAACGAGGAGGAUGAAAAGGAUGAACAAAGUUAGGAUGAGAAGAAGGCUAAGCUACAAGAACAUCAGACGAGCUGGUGUGUUUUUCGAUAAAGCAAAGGGGUCCUUGGUGUCGUACUGCAUCCUCAUCAUCAUGUCAGGCAUGCUGAGGCCCUGCUGGUAAGGAGCUGAGGGGGGCAGGGAUGUAGCACGCUUCUGGAAGGCCGGAUCGCUCACCUCCGAGAAGGGGUCUUGUACGCUCACACUGCUCCUGGACAAGGCGAGGAGGGAGGGAGGGACAUGGAGGAGAGAGAAGGGAGAGGAGGGAGAGCGAUGGAGGGAAGGAAUUUUAUGUAAACGCAAUGCUUUUAUUUUUGAAAAAUAUUUCUUACUUGUAAAAGUGGAGAAAUAUUAGCAGCAAAAUGCACUUAACAUAUUAAAAGUAGAAGUACUACUUAUGCAAAAUGA
Molecule: long non-coding RNA, 872 nt
Organism: Dicentrarchus labrax (European seabass)
Lineage: Eukaryota; Metazoa; Chordata; Actinopteri; Moronidae
Exons: 2
Source: RefSeq, a predicted model, not a curated record